CCUUGAGGCGUGGCUUCCGGAGCUAACGCGUUAAAUCGACCGCCUGGGGAGUACGGCCGCAAGGUUAAAACUCAAAUGAAUUGACGGGGGCCCGCACAAGCGGUGGAGCAUGUGGUUUAAUUCGAUGCAACGCGAAGAACCUUACCUGGUCUUGACAUCCACAGAACUUUCCAGAGAUGGAUUGGUGCCUUCGGGAACUGUGAGACAGGUGCUGCAUGGCUGUCGUCAGCUCGUGUUGUGAAAUGUUGGGUUAAGUCCCGCAACGAGCGCAACCCUUAUCCUUUGUUGCCAGCGGUUAGGCCGGGAACUCAAAGGAGACUGCCAGUGAUAAACUGGAGGAAGGUGGGGAUGACGUCAAGUCAUCAUGGCCCUUACGACCAGGGCUACACACGUGCUACAAUGGCAUAUACAAAGAGAAGCGACCUCGCGAGAGCAAGCGGACCUCAUAAAGUAUGUCGUAGUCCGGAUUGGAGUCUGCAACUCGACUCCAUGAAGUCGGAAUCGCUAGUAAUCGUAGAUCAGAAUGCUACGGUGAAUACGUUCCCGGGCCUUGUACACACCGCCCGUCACACCAUGGGAGUGGGUUGCAAAAGAAGUAGGUAGCUUAACCUUCGGGAGGGCGCUUACCACUUUGUGAUUCAU
This 642-nucleotide ribosomal RNA is filed under the name Klebsiella pneumoniae. Its description in RNAcentral is "bacterial SSU rRNA". It matches the Rfam family "Bacterial small subunit ribosomal RNA", at positions 830 to 1472 of the family's 1533-position model. Lineage: Bacteria; Pseudomonadati; Pseudomonadota; Gammaproteobacteria; Enterobacterales; Enterobacteriaceae. The record is from RNAcentral.